UCUGAUUCUUCUUCUUCUUCUACUAAUCUUUCUUUCUCUUUCUCUCUCUAUAAUAACACAAUUGAGGGGCGAGAGAGUAACCGAAUCUCUUAUUCUAUCACAGGUUCAGUAGUGAUUAUAAUUUGGGCCGGGUUGAAAUUUUCAUUGGCAAAAUUACCCAUCGUGUAAACCCCUAAAAAAACAACAUGGGUUUUCGCUAAAACAUCUUUUUUUCAAUUGAAGACAAGUUUGUUCCUUUCUCUGAAAAAGAGACAUGAGAAGAAAAAUAGGGGUGGUGAGGAACAAUGUCCAAGUCUUGAAAGGGACAUUGUCUCAGUGAAUCUGAUUGUGUUAAGUAUGGUCAUUAUAAAGGGUUCACAAGGCAUAGUCACCAGAUCGGCAGAUUCUAUCAUUAACCACGUAUCAUGUAACGAAUUCAGUGUACCAUGUACUAGAGUCAUCUAAAGGAAGUCUUGUAAUAAUAAUGUUAAAAAGAACGGACAAAUACCUAAGCCCGUGCCAGAUAUUUGAUGACUAUGGUUAGGGGGGAUUAUAUUGAAGGUUAUUUACACAUAUAUCCAUCCAAGAUGGGACAUAACACAACCCUCACACCUAGGAAUAAAUAUAUGAAGCAUGGAGUGUGAUGCAUGUAACAUCUGUGAGUGACCCAUCAUUGAAUUGAGGUAGACUUUGAUAGGAUACUUAG
Lupinus albus (white lupine) is the source of this 685-nucleotide non-coding RNA. NCBI's taxonomy places the organism in Eukaryota, Viridiplantae, Streptophyta, Magnoliopsida, Fabales, Fabaceae. The record is from the annotation of a GenBank genome assembly.